This is a non-coding RNA of Schistosoma margrebowiei, 45 nucleotides long. The record is from Rfam. NCBI's taxonomy places the organism in Eukaryota, Metazoa, Platyhelminthes, Trematoda, Strigeidida, Schistosomatidae.
AUCCAGCUGACGAAUCCCAAACAGGACGGAACGCGCGUCCUGGAU